RNAcentral lists this ribosomal RNA (466 nucleotides) under uncultured bacterium. RNAcentral describes it as "partial 16S ribosomal RNA". It matches the Rfam family "Bacterial small subunit ribosomal RNA", at positions 28 to 507 of the family's 1533-position model. The record is from RNAcentral.
GACGAACGCUGGCGGCGCGCCUAACACAUGCAAGUCGAACGAGCGAGAGAGAGCUUGCUUUCUCGAGCGAGUGGCGAACGGGUGAGUAACGCGUGAGGAACCUGCCUCAAAGAGGGGGACAACAGUUGGAAACGACUGCUAAUACCGCAUAAGCCCACGGGUCGGCAUCGACCAGAGGGAAAAGGAGCAAUCCGCUUUGAGAUGGCCUCGCGUCCGAUUAGCUAGUUGGUGAGGUAACGGCCCACCAAGGCAACGAUCGGUAGCCGGACUGAGAGGUUGAACGGCCACAUUGGGACUGAGACACGGCCCAGACUCCUACGGGAAGCAGCAGUGGGGAAUAUUGCACAAUGGGGGAAACCCUGAUGCAGCGACGCCGCGUGGAGGAAGAAGGUCUUCGGAUUGUAAACUCCUGUUGUUGGGGAAGAUAAUGACGGUACCCAACAAGGAAGUGACGGCUAACUACGUG